AAACGUUGAGGAAAGGCAUGGCAUAUUCGAAAGUAGUGACAGUAAGCGUCUGUUCAGAUGCAAAAGUGGACAAACCAUUCCAGUGUCCAGAAAAUGCGACGCUAGAUUUGACUGCUUUGAUUAUUCAGAUGAAACUGAUUGUUGGCAAAACUUUAAACCUCAUCAACUUGUCUCCGGCAUGACAUUGUCCUCUGAACUUCCACCAGGUUUCGACACUGGUUCCCAUUUCCAAUGCGAUAAAACAUUGGAGUGGAUUUCCGUAACCGCAUAUUGCGACGGUGUAAUAGAUUGUUUGGAUUCAUCUGACGAAAUAGCCUGUAACAAUUCUUUAGAUGAUAAUAAGUCUUGUUUGUCUGAUCAGUAUAAAUGCGGAGAAGGUGAUUGUAUACAUAUCAGCCAGCUCUGUAAUUUUGUACCUGACUGUAUCGACCAGACAGAUGAAAAUUGUG
Mercenaria mercenaria is the source of this 449-nucleotide long non-coding RNA. RefSeq lists it as uncharacterized. The record is from RefSeq and is a predicted model, not a curated record. Lineage: Eukaryota; Metazoa; Mollusca; Bivalvia; Venerida; Veneridae. The transcript has 3 exons.